UACGUAGGGCGCAAGCGUUAUCCGGAAUUACUGGGCGUAAAGCGCGCGCAGGCGGUUCUCCAAGUCAGUGGUGAAAGCCCGGAGCUCAACUCCGGAACUGCCAUUGAAACUGUUGAACUUGAGGACGAGAGAGGCGAGUGGAAUUGCGGGUGGAGCGGUGAAAUGCGUAGAUAUCCGCAGGAACAUCCGAGGCGAAAGCGGCUCGCUGGAUCACAACUGACGCUGAGGGACGAAAGCUAGGGGAGCAAACAGG
Molecule: ribosomal RNA, 253 nt
Filed under: uncultured bacterium
Lineage: Bacteria
Description: partial 16S ribosomal RNA
Rfam family: Bacterial small subunit ribosomal RNA
Source: RNAcentral